Molecule: ribosomal RNA, 251 nt
Filed under: uncultured bacterium
Lineage: Bacteria
Description: partial 16S ribosomal RNA
Rfam family: Bacterial small subunit ribosomal RNA
Source: RNAcentral
ACGUAUGGUGCAAGCGUUAUCCGGAUUUACUGGGUGUAAAGGGAGCGUAGACGGUGAUGUAAGUCUGAAGUGAAAGCCCGGGGCUCAACCCCGGGACUGCUUUGGAAACUAUGUGACUAGAGUGUCGGAGAGGCAAGUGGAAUUCCCAGUGUAGCGGUGAAAUGCGUAGAUAUUGGGAGGAACACCAGUGGCGAAGGCGGCUUGCUGGACGAUAACUGACGUUGAGGCUCGAAAGCGUGGGGAGCAAACAG